CUUGUUCCGCGGAGGGUGGGGCGGUCUCUGCUUGCGCAUGCGCAAUGCCAGCCAGUGCCUGCGCGGCUUGCUCCAGCAAGGUAAAAUUUCCCACUGCGAGGCAGGCAGUGAUGCUGCGGCCGCUUCGCACUGUGGCUCCUGCCGACCGCCAGGCGCUGUUACAGUGGAUGCGAACUAACCGUAAGUCAUUAUAUCGUACUGCAGAAACCAGCUCAACUAUGCAAAACUACCACCAGGACUGGCCGACACCAGGAGGGAUUCCAGAGACCACACUGCAGGGAGCAUACAGAAAGAAAAUUAAGAGAUCAGAUGCAGCAGCAGCCGGAACCCACAGUUCACCUUGGUGCAUUCCUUUAUGAUGAAGACUUAUUGAUUCAUUAUAUGAGAAAGGAAAAAUGAGCAGAAACUACUGUAUGAUGUGCAGCUCACACCAGACAGCAACUUUAGGGUUAUCUUUCCAGUUCAGCAGUGCAACUCUAUGGAGUAGAAUUGAAAGGAGACUUUUCGCCAAUUGCAGGAAAUGGUCAUAAAAAAAUACCUGCUCACUGACAGAAUAAAGGUGCUUCAUGCAGACAUCUGUACACCAGAUUUACUUCUGCAAAAUGCUGAUGCUAUGAAUAAUGCUUUUGAAUAUUAAUAAGGCAAAACAGACCAGAAAAAAAAAAUUGUAUUUGAAGCUUCUUUGCAAAGAAAUGAGUGAAUGCAACUUCCUUAAAACCUACCUGCAUUCUGACAACAUGGGACCCACAAUUUAUGGGAUAAAAUGAAGCUUGAAAAUUACUUUAGGUUGAUGUUGAGAAGUUGGAACCCUCCUACAUUGCUGUCUCACUCUGUCACCUGGCUGGAGUUUAGUGACACG
Molecule: long non-coding RNA, 859 nt
Filed under: Homo sapiens (human)
Lineage: Eukaryota; Metazoa; Chordata; Mammalia; Primates; Hominidae
Description: HSALNT0376357
Source: RNAcentral